RNAcentral lists this long non-coding RNA (402 nucleotides) under Sus scrofa (pig). RNAcentral's name for it is "lncRNA (ENSSSCG00055027318.1)". The record is from RNAcentral. Lineage: Eukaryota; Metazoa; Chordata; Mammalia; Artiodactyla; Suidae.
UGGGAGGAGGAAAAUGCAGUGCAAAUGACUUUAAAGUGAGGGAGAGGAGAAAGAUAAUCAUGAAAGUCAGGCUGGGUGUUGAUUGUUGGCGAGGAAUUUCCACUGAACAUUAAGCUCUUCCUGAAACUUUCAUCCAUCCAGAGGCCUUCCUGGCUGGAGGUCUGCAUGAUGAAAAGUGUCGUAGAGAGUUCUUGAGUCUGAAGGCCAAUGAUAUCAGAUGGAAAGUGGGAUCUACAACAUGAAAGAAUGGCGUUGGAAAUGAUAAAUAUAUGGGUAAGUGUAAAAUAUGUUUUAUUAUUUAAAAAUACCUUUGAGAACAUAGAUUCUUUAAUAUGAAAAGUAGAAAUAGUGUAUUAUGAAAUUUGUAACAUAUAUGCAGAGAUAAAAUACGAAUAUCACAUG